AAAAAAAAGAACUGACAGAAUCAGCUGUUUUACAAAUGCAGUUUGUUGAUUUUUGCAACUGAAAAUGGCAGAGCAGAAAAAAAAAACAAAAAAAAAAGAUGUCCAAACGAUCUUCUUCAUCAAAAAUCUCUUCUCAACUUUACUAAUUAAGCUAUCUGGAUGCUACUUCGAAGUCGUUUUUUUUCCUUGUAUUUGGUGUCUCAAAGAGGAAGAAACUUUGCAAAACUUUUAUAUAUUCCUCUGUUUUAUGUUAAUGAAUUAAAAUUAUUUAUUUAAAUUGUCA
Long non-coding RNA from Episyrphus balteatus (marmalade hoverfly), 283 nucleotides. RefSeq lists it as uncharacterized. The record is from RefSeq and is a predicted model, not a curated record. The transcript has 2 exons. Lineage: Eukaryota; Metazoa; Arthropoda; Insecta; Diptera; Syrphidae.